RNAcentral lists this ribosomal RNA (447 nucleotides) under uncultured bacterium. RNAcentral's name for it is "bacterial SSU rRNA". It matches the Rfam family "Bacterial small subunit ribosomal RNA", at positions 355 to 825 of the family's 1533-position model. The record is from RNAcentral.
UCGGGAAUUUUGGGCAAUGGGCGAAAGCCUGACCCAGCAACGCCGCGUGAAGGAUGAAGUAUUUCGGUAUGUAAACUUCGAAAGAAUAGGAAGAAUAAAUGACGGUACUAUUUAUAAGGUCCGGCUAACUACGUGCCAGCAGCCGCGGUAAUACGUAGGGACCAAGCGUUGUUCGGAUUUACUGGGCGUAAAGGGCGCGUAGGCGGCAAUUCAAGUCAUCUGUGAAAUCUCCGGGCUUAACUCGGAACGGUCAGAUGAUGCUGCUUUGCUAGAGUGCAGAAGGGGCAAUCGGAAUUCUUGGUGUAGCGGUGAAAUGCGUAGAUAUCAAGAGGAACACCUGAGGUGAAGACGGGUUGCUGGGCUGACACUGACGCUGAGGCGCGAAAGCCAGGGGAGCAAACGGGAUUAGAUACCCCUGUAGUCCCUGAGCGGGCUGGCAAGGCGCAU